Molecule: ribosomal RNA, 465 nt
Filed under: Vreelandella stevensii
Lineage: Bacteria; Pseudomonadati; Pseudomonadota; Gammaproteobacteria; Oceanospirillales; Halomonadaceae
Description: partial 16S ribosomal RNA
Rfam family: Bacterial small subunit ribosomal RNA
Source: RNAcentral
CCUACGGGAGGCUGCAGUGGGGAAUAUUAGACAAUGGGCGAAAGCCUGAUCCAGCCAUGCCGCGUGUGUGAAGAAGGCCUUCGGGUUGUAAAGCACUUUCAGUGGGGAAGAAAGCCUUGGGGCUAAUACCCUCGAGGAAGGACAUCACCCACAGAAGAAGCACCGGCUAACUCCGUGCCAGCAGCCGCGGUAAUACGGAGGGUGCGAGCGUUAAUCGGAAUUACUGGGCGUAAAGCGCGCGUAGGCGGUCUGAUAAGCCGGUUGUGAAAGCCCCGGGCUCAACCUGGGAACGGCAUCCGGAACUGUCAGGCUAGAGUGCAGGAGAGGAAGGUAGAAUUCCCGGUGUAGCGGUGAAAUGCGUAGAGAUCGGGAGGAAUACCAGUGGCGAAGGCGGCCUUCUGGACUGACACUGACGCUGAGGUGCGAAAGCGUGGGUAGCAAACAGGAUUAGAUACCCCAGUAGUC